AGCUGGCAAGUCGUUGCAAGGAAACGGGAAAUUUGGUUUAUUCUUAUUACCGUUCACUCCGUGUAUGGGAGCUGUGACUCAUAGGCAAAACGCUUGGCUGCUGUCGGGCAAUCUGUAUUCUCUUGCCUUUCCGUAUUUUAUGCAAGUCAGCCUUCAAAACGUUUCGAUCAAAGAGUUUUUAUGCUCAUCAGCGGAGCACCAUUGUUGGACCUGCUGGACGUAGGCUCCCGCCCCCGCACUCCGCAGUCAACCUACCUGCCGCAAGAUUCAAGAAGCGUAACGUUAUGUCAGUGUUCACAAUCGAACAAGUGCGAAGAGAUUGAAUCGAAUUGAGUCAAUCUAUUAUCUGGAGUCAUUCCUGUAACGAGCAGUUAACAUGCCAGAGAAACAAGAUGAUACAAGUGUACGAGUGGCUGUUCGGAUCCGUCCUCAGCUAGCAAGAGAGAAGAUAGAUGCUUGUCGUGUGUGUACAGCAGUCAGUCCAGAUCAACCACAGGUUAUUCUUGGACCUGAUCGUAUGUUUACAUAUGAUCAUGUAUUUGAUAUGGACAGUCAACAAGAUUCCAUCUAUCAAAGAACGGUACAUGAUCUCAUCGAAGGGUGUUUCGAGGGCUACAAUGCAACUGUCUUUGCUUACGGCCAGACAGGAGCUGGUAAAACGUAUAGUAUGGGGACUGGGUUUGAGCCUGGACUUACUGAAGAUCAGAAAGGAAUCAUACCCCGAGCUGUAAGGCAUCUAUUCACAGGAAUUGAAGAAAGGCAAAGAAACGCUGCUGAUAAAAGUGAACCUCCUCCUGAGUUUAAGAUCUAUGCAGAAUUCAUGGAGUUAUACAAUGAAGAGAUCCUAGACCUGUUUGAUUCUGCAAGGGAUAUGGAAUCUAGUAGGAGUAAGAAAUCUCACAUCAAGAUUCAUGAAGAUGCUGGGGGUGGGAUCUAUGUGGUUGGCGUGACAACACGGACUGUGACAUCAGAACAGGAGACAUUGCAAGCUUUACAAGGCGGGGCAUUAUCAAGGACAACAGCCAGUACAAAGAUGAAUUCACAGAGUUCUCGAUCUCAUGCAAUCUUUACAUUACAUAUUAAACAACAGAGGCUUAUUAAAGUGACAGCUGAAAUAGAAGGUGAAGAUGAGAAAGAAACAGAGAAGACUGAGGGCGAUGGAAUGAAUGAGUUUGAAAUGCUUACGGCUAAAUUCCAUUUUGUUGAUCUGGCUGGCUCCGAGAGAUUGAAGAGAACAGGUGCAACAGGGGAUAGAGCGAAAGAAGGAAUAUCAAUUAAUUGUGGAUUGCUUGCUCUAGGUAAUGUGAUCAGUGCUCUUGGUGAUCCAUUAAAGAAGUCAUCUCAUGUUCCAUAUAGGGAUUCUAAAUUGACCAGAUUACUUCAAGAUUCUCUAGGUGGUAACAGCCGUACAUUGAUGAUAGCCUGUGUGAGUCCAUCUGAUCCUGACUUCAUGGAGACCUUGAACACGUUGCGAUACGCCAACAGAGCAAGAAAUAUCAAGAAUGCAGUCAUUGCUAACCAAGACAAGACAAGCCGUCAGUUAGCUCUACUCAGAACAGAGAUAAAACGACUACAAGAUGAACUCAAUGAAUACAAACAGGGUAAGAGGUCAGUGAACUCAGAUGGAGUUGAGGAGAUCAAUGAUCUAUUUCAUGAGAACACAAUGCUUCAGAUGGAGAAUAGUAAUCUACGUCAACGAAUUAAAGCUUUACAAGAAACCAUUGAUGGUCUGACGGCUAGGAUUGCUUUAUUGGUUGCAGAACAAGCUAGAUAUGGCAUGUCUGCUUCAACAGAUCGGUCUCGUUACACCAUGUCUACAGACUUAGGUGGUACAGAUGGAGAUGAUGAAACAAUGUUAAUGAUGACAGGAUACAUCAAAGAGGUAGAAGAAUUGAGGGCCAAGUUGGUUGAGAGUGAGAGUAUGAACUCUGCUUUAAGAAGGAAGAAUGUUGAUUCACCAGUCAGGGUUAAUUCUAGAGGAUCAGUAAUGAGUCCUUCUCAUGUAUCACUUAGACCAAGCUCUGCCAUCUUUACUGCACCAAUAUUUGAGAAUGAAUUUCAUGGUGAUGAUGAUGUGAGAGUUUCUUCUGUUCUCUCUGAUGCUAAGAAACAAAUAGAAGUUGAUCAAGAAAAGAUAAGACAAGUUGAAAAGAGGAGACAUUCACAUGGGGGUAGUGAAAAAGACAUGGAGUCAUGUGAAGAGAUUACAGACGAAAGCCAUGAAUCAGUUCAGGAUCAUGAGAUGGAAGGAACAAAAGAUGAAGAUGAAGAAAAAGAAGAAGAGGAUUCAGAUGAUGAAGAUGACGAUGAGAAAGAUAGUAGUAGUAGUAGUGAUUCAGAAUCAGAUGAAGAAGAGAAUGCACAACUACAGGAGAAUCUUGCCGAGAUUGCGUGUGAAAUCACCAUCAAACAAAGACUAAUAGAAGAACUGGAGUUAAGUCAAAAGAGACUUCACACUAUGAAGAUGCAAUAUGAAGAGAAACUAGGCUCUUUACUUAAUAAGAUCAAAGAAACAGAAAGUGAAAGAGAUAAAGUCUUGGAAAACCUGGGAUCAAUGGCUGAAUCAAGGACAAAAGACAAAGCUGAAAAGAUCCGCAAGGAAUAUGAGAUAAAACUGAAGAAACUUUCAGAGGAGAAAGAUAGACUCACUAAGGCUCAGAAGGAACAUAACAAGAUUUUAAAGAGCAAGUCACAGUUUGAAAGGCAGAUGAGAGGACUCAAAGAUGAGGUCUCUAAAAUGAAAGAAACAAAGGUGAAGCUGAUGAAACAAAUCCGAGAAGAACAACAGAAGAGUCGUAAUAAAGAUCAGCUAUCAAGCAGAGAGAUACAAAGAUUAAAGAAAGAAUCUAGGAAGAAAGAAACGCAGAUUAAAACAUUGGAAGCUUCAGCUAAACAGAGGGAACUUGUGCUUAAGAGAAAACAUGAACAGCUUGAGAUGCUGCGUAAGAAUCAGAAACCAAUGUCAGACAAGGUCGCUGGAAGAGUCUCUAGACCUGUGAAGAAGCCCUCUACAGUCCAAACAGAGACAGGUACAGGAGGUCAAAGGUCACUUAGCAGGAGAGGAAAGGCGAAGGUUGACACCGGCCGACCUACCAAACAUGAGAGGAAAGGAACAAGUGAAUACUCAUCAAAAACAGCCAAACAGAAAUGGAAUGUUAUGGAGAGAAAGAUCACAGAUAUCAUAGCAAGACGGCAAACACUGUCCUUCAUGGAACGAGAUAUGGAAAGGUUUAUCCAUCAUAGACACAAACUAAGCAAGAAGGUUGAGAAGUACCUGACUAAGAGAGAUGAAGCUUUGAAGACAGGCAACAAUGAUCCUAGUAUCCUAAAAGAUUUAGAUGAACAGAUAGAUGGAUUAAAUGAUAACAUAGAGUAUGUACAGGAACAGAUUACAGAAUGUCAGAGUGGGAUUAUGGAAGUCAUGGAGGGAAAGGAGGAGAUAGAUGCUGUUGAUGCAGCUGCUGUAGUUGAACAAUGCUCCUUGAGAGAGGCUAAAUACAUGCUGGAGCAUUUCAUUAACCUAGCUAUCAGUAAGGGUUUGAGUGCUGCACAGAAAGAAUCUCAAGUCAAAGAGUUGACAGCAAAACUACAUCAAGAAGAACAGAAUAGCUUUGUACAACAGACAUUAUUACAACAUAUGAUGAAAGACAGAGAGGGAGAAGAUCUUGAAUUAGAUGGCCUUUUUAAUCAUCCUAAUAGAGAUAGCGAGAGUAGCAGCAAUAGUUCAAGGGCUCCCUCACCUGAUAUCAGUGCCUUGAAUGCAUUAGCAGUGAAUGUGCCUGAUCACACCACACUACCACAUACAGGACCAGCGAAUUCUGUAUCAUCUAUUCCCGUACCCACCCAAACCAAGGCUAAAGACAAGGCAAGAAGACGAACAGCUACAUCAGAGGAACUAUUAGGAUUCAAAGGUUCAUCUGACUUCACUCCUGACCCUGCUGUAGGUGUGGUCAUUGAAUCUGAUGAAACAUCAUCAUCAACAGAUACCGCUUCAAUAGAUUCAUCUCAGGUUCUACCAUCAAGUCAUAUACCAAUCAGAAAAGAUGGCAGAGAUCAUACUCCAGACCAUACACCUCCUGGAUCACCUCCUCCUUCUAGAACUGGUAAUGUCUUCUCAAGGCUGGCUCAAACCAAUUCACCAGCUCAGUCUCAGAAAGAUAGAGGUUCAAUCAUUCCUGUGAUUAAUAAACCUACUACUCCACGUGCUCCAUUAGUGUGUUCAUACACAGCUGAAGGUCAUAAUAAAGCAGUCUUAUCAGUUCAAGCCACAGAAGAACUACUAUUCAGUGGAUCUAAAGAUCGGAGUGUGAAGAUCUGGAAGCUGGAGACUGGGAAAGAGAUUGCUACUCUUGGUGGUCAUACUAAUAAUGUAGGUGUUGUGAGGUAUUGUGAGAAACUCAAGCUUGUAUUUAGUGUAUCUACUGCAUUCAUACGAAUAUGGGAUAUCAGAGAUACAACUAAAUGUGUUACUACACUAAGUUCAUCUGGAAUGCAGCUUGAUAAGACUGCUGGUAGUAGCUCAUCUAGAACAGUUACACUACCACAAGGAGAGACACAGAUCAAUGAUAUAGCUAUCAAUCAAAAUGGAACUAGACUAUAUUCAGCUGCUGGUAAUAUAGUAAGAGUAUGGGAUCUUAACAGCUUUCAGUCAAUGUGUAAGUUAUUUGGUGGACCUUCUGCAGCAGUAAUGUGUCUGGAUGUAAAGACUACACCUGAGUAUGAUCAAGUCUUUGCUGGAUCCAAAGAUCAUUAUGUCAAGAUGUUUGAGGUGGAGCCAGCUGCAUCUGGUUGUCUGACAUCAUCAUUCAACUUUGAUCCUCCUCAUUAUGAUGGUAUCCAAUCAAUGGCUAUCAAGGGGAAUUCACUAUUCAGUGGUUCAAGGGAUGCAUGUAUUAAGAAAUGGGACUUGGAACAAAAACAACUUACAAAGGCAAUGUCUAAUGCUCAUAAAGACUGGAUAUGUGCCUUAGACUUCUUACCAAGUUACAACUGUCUGUUAAGUGGCUGUAGAGGGGGCUAUUUAAAGCUGUGGAAUAUCGAGACGUGUACCCCUGUGGGAGAGAUGAAAGCUCAUACUAGUCCUAUCAACUCCAUAGCAACCAACUCAACACAUGUCUUCACUGCUUCAAGUGACAUGAUCAAAUUAUGGAGAAAGUCUGAAAACACAAGACUAUCAAGUUUAUAGCACGCUGAACUGGUUUAUAGUGUGGUCUCAAUAGUUAGAUCUCUGCAUAUAUUUUGGUGAUAGGACCGUGAGUGUGUGGAAGAAAAAUGGGGAAGCAGAUCGGACAUGACCUUUGACCUGAUGAUGACAUAACAUCAUGAUGUAUAACUGCAAGCUUGAUGAGUCACAUCCAACUGGUUGCAUCCAGUUUUCACCAGUUUCCAGCACUUUGAUUUUCAGUGGUUCUUCUCAGUGCUACAUUCAUACAGUGUGGAUAUGGAAUUGUGAAAUUCAUGCUGAAUUGUUAGUAUGAAACUAAUAACUAUAUGAUUUCUGAAUUGCCGCAGUUAAAUGCAAGAAUUAUAGGUAUGAAUAUCACUGUAAUGCGCAAGUGCACCAUUAUACGCUGUUUCACUCUACAUGACACAUAUACAACAACAUAUAAUCUAAAUUAAGUCAUUUAUUCUUUCAUGUGAAAUGUAUGCCUACAAAGAUGUACAGAACAGGACGAAAAUAAUACAUUUCCUCUUUAAUACAUUAAAGAGGAAAUGUGACCCAAGUAGACAAAAUUAUGAAAUGGAAAUGAGAAAAUUUGGAAAGCUAAUUGGUGAAUAUUUUAACAAAACUUGCAUAUAAUAAGUAAUUUAUGCAAUUUUUACCUGUAAGAAGUUUUGAUUCCUGUAAGGUAAGGAUUACUGAGGAUAUACAUGUAUAUUAAUCUUAUUCAACACUGGGGAAAAAGUGCUUAGGAGAAAACCACACAAAUUACUGUCAAUUAAAUUAGACAAAUAGAUGUAAAAAAAACAAUCCGUAGGGUGUAUGCUAUAUUGCCACGACACCAAGAUUACCAGCACCAGAUUUUUUUGGUCCAGAGUUAAUAUGGUGUUCAUACAGUAUGGUGUCUUAGCUUUUUGAUGGUAGUAUACUCCUCAAGCAGUGGAUAAUGUGUUAAUAGGCAAUCCAGAAUGUGAGGACCAGGAUAAUACUAUAUCUGGGGAUGUCCUGAUGAUCUGACAGUUACUAUAAAAGUUACACCUUACUUGUCAGAUGUGCUGCAAUCUGGCUUGGUGUAAACAGCCCAGCUUGGCAUACUGGUGAGAUGUGCAUAACUGAUUUUUCGUGAUGUGUACACUCUUAAUGCAACAAUCUUUAUACCACUUAAGACCAAUACCACCUAGCUUUGAACACAAAACCCAGUUCAGAAGUAUGCAAUCAAUGUUUGUAGCUUGACAAAUAGGAAAUAGCACCCUCAAUUGUUUGUAAAUAUGAAUAUUAUAUUAUUUUUGUUGAAAAACCAUUGUUUAAUUCAAAAUUCUAAGAAAUCAUGACAGAAUAGAUGUUAAACAGUGUAAUAUAUGCAUGCUGUAGAAAAAGUUUAUAUUUAUUUUCUAUGUGUAUAUGUAAGUAUAUGUUAGUGCACAUAAUAUUGCUUGACAAUGGCAUAUAUUGGCAUAAAAUUGAAAUAUCUCCCCCCUCUUUUUCAGUAUUCCUCUCCUUGUCGAGAGAAGGAGUGAGAUGAUUAUGUUUUAUCAUGUAUUGAACCACAGAGACUAUUAUUGCGCAAUUAUUUCAAUCUUCUUGCAAUUUGAAGACAUUGAAAUUUGUGAAAUAUGUCCCAUUUUGAGCAAGCGCCAUGAGUGCCCAGCUGAGGCAGAUACCGGCACUAUACAAGAACCCAUCAUCAUCAUUUGUCAGUUAUUGCGCAAUAUAUCAGAUAGUAAUUAUACUUGCUUCAAUAAAUGCAGUAUAAUUAAAAUGACUUUUGCUGAGCUACUAUUGCAUUUCAAGUUUUAAAUGUAACUCCUGCCAGGUUCCCAUUUACGUCAAGCGGAUUGAGUGCAAUUGACUUCAGGGGCCCGUUGCAGAAAGAGUUGCAAUCAAUCGCAACUCUUAAAUCAUGCACAACUUGAUUUUCAACCAAUCAACAGCAUGCAUUUGGGACUUGAUUGAUUUUUUUACUUGCGUUUAAACGCAACUCUUUCUGCAACUGACCCCUGAACAAAUGUUGAGCUCUGUUGACCCAUGUGUAAACAAGUCUUUGUUUAUUGGCUACACAAGUAUUAAUACAAUCAUUCCAUGCAAACAAUCAACAUACUAGAUACAUGAUAGCUUUUAUAUGAAUCCUCUUCAGCAUAUAUAAUAUGGAUUAUUGUCUGAUCCCAAGUGAUGUUAUUAAUGAAGCUUCAAGCAUAUUCCAAAUUAUUUUUGUAUAGAUUAUAGUAGAGAAAUAUAAUGUAUUUAUUAUUCUGUUUGAAUGAGUGUGUUGGCUUAUUCUGUUAUUUGAUUUGCAAAAGCUGAGAGA
Molecule: unclassified non-coding RNA, 7466 nt
Filed under: Lytechinus variegatus (green sea urchin)
Lineage: Eukaryota; Metazoa; Echinodermata; Echinoidea; Temnopleuroida; Toxopneustidae
Description: kinesin-like protein KIF21A, transcript variant X2
Source: RNAcentral